UGAGGAAUAUUGCGCAAUGGGGGCAACCCUGGCGCAGCGACGCCGCGUGAGUGAGGAAGGCCUUCGGGUCGUAAAGCUCUGUCAAAGGGAAAGAAGUGCAUGGUGGCUAAUACCUGCCAUGUUUGACGGUACCCUUAAAGGAAGCACCGGCUAACUCCGUGCCAGCAGCCGCGGUAAUACGGAGGGUGCAAGCGUUGUUCGGAAUAACUGGGCGUAAAGGGCGCGUAGGCGGUUUGAUAAGUCAGAUGUGAAAGCCCACGGCGUAACUGUGGAAGUGCAUUUGAAACUGUCACGCUAUAGUAAGGGAUAGGAAAGUGGAAUUCCUGGUGUAGAGGUGAAAUUCGUAGAGAUCAGGAGGAACACCGGUGGCGAAGGCGACUUUCUGGCCCUAGACUGACGCUGAGACGCGAGAGCGUGGGGGGCAAACA
Molecule: ribosomal RNA, 428 nt
Filed under: uncultured prokaryote
Description: bacterial SSU rRNA
Rfam family: Bacterial small subunit ribosomal RNA
Source: RNAcentral